CCUAGUUGAUCCUGGCAGUAGUCAUAUGCUUGUCUCAAAGAUUAAGCCAUGCAUGUCUAAGUAUGAACUAAUUCAGACUGUGAAACUGUGGAUGGCUCAUUAAAUCAGUUAUAGUUUUUUUGAUGGUACCAUACUACUCAGAUAACCAUAAUAAUUCUAGAGCUAAUACAUGCACCAAGUCCUGACUCUUUGGAAGUGAUGCAUUUUUUAGAUAAAAGAUGACGCGGGCUUGCCCGCUUCUCUGGUAAUCAUGAUAACUCAACGGAUUGAACGGACCUUGUGCUGGCGAUGCUUCAGUCAAAUUUAUGCCCUAUAAAAUUUUGAUGGGAGGAUAGAGGCCUAUCAUGGUGGUGAUGAGUGAUGGAUAAUUAGGGUUCGAUUCCAGAGAGGGAGCCUAAGAAACGACUACCAUAUCCAAGGAAGGUAGCAGGAACGCAAAUUACCCAAUCUUGACAUGGGGAGGUAGUGACAAUAAAUAACAAUACUGGGCUCAUCGAGUCUGGUAAUUGGAAUGAGUACAAUCCAAAUCCCUUAACGAGGAUCCACUGGAGGGCAAUUCUAGUGCCAAAAACUGCGGUAAUUCCAGCUCCAAUAGCGUAUAUUUAAGUUGUUGCAGUUAAAAAUCUCGUAUUUGGAUCUUGGGUCAUAAAGGUCGAUCUGCUUACUUGAUGUGCACCUACCCUUCCAUCCCUUUUGUCGGCGGUGUGCUCCUGGAUGGUUCGCGGCUCCGGCACCGUUACUUUGAAAAAGUUAGACUGCUCGAAGCAAGCUUAUGCUCUGAAUACAUUAGCAUGGAAUAAUGUGAUAGGAGUCUGGUCCUAUUGUGUUGGCCUUCGGGACCAGAGUAAUGAUUAAUAGGGACUGUCGGAGGCAUUCGUAUUUCAUUGUCAGAGUUGAAAUUCUUGGAUUUAUGAAAGACAGACCACUACCAAAGCAUUUUCCAAGGAUGUUUUCAUUAAUCAAGAAUGAAAUUUGGGGCCUCGAAGAUGAUCAAAUACCGUCCUAGUCUCAACCAUAAACGAUGCCGACCAGCGAUCAAUGGAUGUUGCUCUAAGGACUCCACCAACACUUUCUGAGAAAUCAAAGUGUUUGGGUUCCAGGGGAGUAUGGUCGCAAGGCUGAAUCUUAAAGGAAUUGACAGAAGGGCACCACCAGGAGUGGAGCCUACAACUUAAUUUGACUUAACACAGGGAAACUUACCAGGUCCAGACAUAGUAAGGAUUGACAGAUUGAGAGAUCUUUCUUGAUUCUAUGGGUGGUGGUGCAUGACCAUUCUUAGUUGGUGGAGAAAUUUGUCUGGUUAAUUUCGAUAAUGAAUGAGGCCUCAACCUACUAAAUAUUUACACAGAGGUUACUAGCUUCAUAUAGGGACUAUGGCCAUUUAGGUCAUGGAAGUUUGAGGCAAUAAUAGGUCUGUGAUGGCCUUAGAUGUUUUGGGCCGCACGCACACUACACUGAUGCAGCGAAUGAGUUUUUCUUCCUGGUUUGAGAGGAUCGGGAAAUCUUCUCAAAUUGCAUCAUGAUGGGGAUAUACCAUUGCAAUUAUUGGUCUUCAACGAGGAAUUCCUAGUAAGCGCGUGUCAUGAACUCAUGUUGACUAUGUCCCUACCCUUUGUAUACACUACCCGUCACUCCUACCGAUUGAAUGAUCCAGUGAAGUGUUCAGAUUGCAUCGAUGAUGGUGGUUCGCCGCCAUCAACAUCGUGAGAAGUUCAUUGAACCUUAUCAUUUAGAGGAAGGAGAAGUCGUAUCAAGGUUACCGUCGGUGAACCUGCGGUAG
Molecule: ribosomal RNA, 1780 nt
Filed under: Pinus taeda (loblolly pine)
Lineage: Eukaryota; Viridiplantae; Streptophyta; Pinopsida; Pinales; Pinaceae
Description: SSU rRNA
Rfam family: Eukaryotic small subunit ribosomal RNA
Source: RNAcentral